Molecule: ribosomal RNA, 466 nt
Filed under: uncultured bacterium
Lineage: Bacteria
Description: bacterial SSU rRNA
Rfam family: Bacterial small subunit ribosomal RNA
Source: RNAcentral
CCCAGACUCCUACGGGAGGCAGCAGUGAGGAAUAUUGGUCAAUGGGCGCAAGCCUGAACCAGCCAAGUCGCGUGAGGGAAGACGGCCCUACGGGUUGUAAACCUCUUUUGCCGGGGAGCAAGCCUGAGCACGUGUGCCCAGGCGGAGAGUACCCGGAGAAAAAGCAUCGGCUAACUCCGUGCCAGCAGCCGCGGUAAUACGGAGGAUCCGAGCGUUAUCCGGAUUUAUUGGGUUUAAAGGGUGCGUAGGCGGCCUUUUAAGUCAGCGGUGAAAGUCUGUGGCUCAACCAUAGAAUUGCCGUUGAAACUGGGGGGCUUGAGUAUGUUUGAGGCAGGCGGAAUGCGUGGUGUAGCGGUGAAAUGCAUAGAUAUCACGCAGAACCCCGAUUGCGAAGGCAGCCUGCUAGGCCAUGACUGAUGCUGAUGCACGAAAGCGUGGGGAUCGAACAGGAUUAGAUACCCCUGUA